This 621-nucleotide ribosomal RNA is filed under the name Shigella sonnei. RNAcentral's name for it is "partial 23S ribosomal RNA". It matches the Rfam family "Bacterial large subunit ribosomal RNA", at positions 296 to 927 of the family's 2925-position model. Lineage: Bacteria; Pseudomonadati; Pseudomonadota; Gammaproteobacteria; Enterobacterales; Enterobacteriaceae. The record is from RNAcentral.
CAGCCCAGAGCCUGAAUCAGUGUGUGUGUUAGUGGAAGCGUCUGGAAAGGCGUGCGAUACAGGGUGACAGCCCCGUACACAAAAAUGCACAUAUUGUGAGCUUGAUGAGUAGGGCGGGACACGUGGUAUCCUGUCUGAAUAUGGGGGGACCAUCCUCCAAGGCUAAAUACUCCUGACUGACCGAUAGUGAACCAGUACCGUGAGGGAAAGGCGAAAAGAACCCCGGCGAGGGGAGUGAAAAAGAACCUGAAACCGUGUACGUACAAGCAGUGGGAGCACGCUUAGGCGUGUGACUGCGUACCUUUUGUAUAAUGGGUCAGCGACUUAUAUUCUGUAGCAAGGUUAACCGAAUAGGGGAGCCGAAGGGAAACCGAGUCUUAACUGGGCGUUAAGUUGCAGGGUAUAGACCCGAAACCCGGUGAUCUAGCCAUGGGCAGGUUGAAGGUUGGGUAACACUAACUGGAGGACCGAACCGACUAAUGUUGAAAAAUUAGCGGAUGACUUGUGGCUGGGGGUGAAAGGCCAAUCAAACCGGGAGAUAGCUGGUUCUCCCCGAAAGCUAUUUAGGUAGCGCCUCGUGAAUUCAUCUCCGGGGGUAGAGCACUGUUUCGGCAAGGGGGU